CAGUGGCGGGCGGGUGAGUAACGCGUGGGAACGUGCCCUAAGGUACGGAACAACUGAGGGAAACUUCAGCUAAUACCGUAUGUGCCCUUCGGGGGAAAGAUUUAUCGCCUUAGGAGCGGCCCGCGUUGGAUUAGCUAGUUGGUGGGGUAAAGGCCCACCAAGGCGACGAUCCAUAGCUGGUCUGAGAGGAUGAUCAGCCACACUGGGACUGAGACACGGCCCAGACUCCUACGGGAGGCAGCAGUAGGGAAUCUUGCGCAAUGGGCGAAAGCCUGACGCAGCCAUGCCGCGUGAAUGAUGAAGGUCUUAGGAUUGUAAAAUUCUUUCACCGGGGAAGAUAAUGACGGUACCCGGAGAAGAAGCCCCGGCUAACUUCGUGCCAGCAGCCGCGGUAAUACGAAGGGGGCUAGCGUUGCUCGGAAUUACUGGGCGUAAAGGGCGCGUAGGCGGACAGUUUAGUCAGAGGUGAAAGCCCAGGGCUCAACUUGGAAUUGCCUUUGAUACUGGCUGUCUUGAGUCGGGAGAGGUGAGUGGAAUGCC
Molecule: ribosomal RNA, 540 nt
Filed under: uncultured bacterium
Lineage: Bacteria
Description: bacterial SSU rRNA
Rfam family: Bacterial small subunit ribosomal RNA
Source: RNAcentral